CUGACCUCAGAUCAGGCGAGAUUACCCGCUGAGUUUAAGCAUAUCACUAAGCGGAGGAAAAGAAACUAACAAGGAUUCCCUUAGUAGCGGCGAGCGAACCGGGAAGAGCC
This 110-nucleotide ribosomal RNA is filed under the name Riccia sp. DCC 582. RNAcentral's name for it is "partial 26S large subunit ribosomal RNA". It matches the Rfam family "Eukaryotic large subunit ribosomal RNA", at positions 1 to 109 of the family's 3401-position model. The record is from RNAcentral. Lineage: Eukaryota; Viridiplantae; Streptophyta; Marchantiopsida; Marchantiales; Ricciaceae.